RNAcentral lists this ribosomal RNA (215 nucleotides) under uncultured bacterium. RNAcentral describes it as "partial 16S ribosomal RNA". It matches the Rfam family "Bacterial small subunit ribosomal RNA", at positions 135 to 334 of the family's 1533-position model. The record is from RNAcentral.
AGGGGGGACGAACAGUUGGAAACGACUGCUAAUACCGCAUACGAUCUGACCUCGGCAUCGAGGAUGGAUGAAAGGUGGCCUCUAUUUAUAAGCUAUCACUGAAGGAGGGGAUUGCGUCUGAUUAGCUAGUUGGAGGGGUAACGGCCCACCAAGGCGAUGAUCAGUAGCCGGUCUGAGAGGAUGAACGGCCACAUUGGGACUGAGACACGGCCCAG